This 461-nucleotide ribosomal RNA is filed under the name uncultured bacterium. RNAcentral's name for it is "partial 16S ribosomal RNA". It matches the Rfam family "Bacterial small subunit ribosomal RNA", at positions 338 to 795 of the family's 1533-position model. The record is from RNAcentral.
CCUACGGGUGGCAGCAGUGAGGAAUAUUGGUCAAUGGGCGAGAGCCUGAACCAGCCAAGUCGCGUGAAGGAUGACGGCCCUACGGGUUGUAAACUUCUUUUGUCAGGGAGCAAUUGGGUCCACGCGUGGGCUUAGCGAGAGUACCUGAAGAAAAAGCAUCGGCUAACUCCGUGCCAGCAGCCGCGGUAAUACGGAGGAUGCGAGCGUUAUCCGGAUUUACUGGGUGUAAAGGGAGCGUAGACGGCAGCGCAAGUCUGAAGUGAAAUGCCGGGGCUUAACCCCGGAACUGCUUUGGAAACUGUGCAGCUAGAGUGCAGGAGAGGUAAGUGGAAUUCCUAGUGUAGCGGUGAAAUGCGUAGAUAUUAGGAGGAACACCAGUGGCGAAGGCGGCUUACUGGACUGUAACUGACGUUGAGGCUCGAAAGCGUGGGGAGCAAACAGGAUUAGAUACCCUAGUAGUC